CGUCAGGAUGAACGCUAGCUACAGGCUUAACACAUGCAAGUCGAGGGGCAGCAUUGGAGUAGCAAUACGUCAGAUGGCGACCGGCGCACGGGUGAGUAACACGUAUCCAACCUGCCGCUUACUCGGGGAUAGCCUUUCGAAAGAAAGAGUUAAUACCCGAUGGUAUAAAGAGUUCGCAUGUUCUCUUUAUUAAAGAAUUUCGGUAAGCGAUGGGGAUGCGUUCCAUUAGAUAGUUGGCGGGGUAACGGCCCACCAAGUCUACGAUGGAUAGGGUUCUGAGAGGAAGGUCCCCCACAUUGGAACUGAGACACGGUCCAAACUCCUACGGGAGGCAGCAGUGAGGAAUAUUGGUCAAUGGACGAGAGUCUGAACCAGCCAAGUAGACCGUGAAGGAUGACUGCCCUAUGGGUUGUAAACUUCUUUUAUAAGGGAAUAAAGUGAGGGACGUGUCCCUUUUUGUAUGUACCUUAUGAAUAAGGAUCGGCUAACUCCGUGCCAGCAGCGGC
Molecule: ribosomal RNA, 506 nt
Filed under: uncultured bacterium
Lineage: Bacteria
Description: bacterial SSU rRNA
Rfam family: Bacterial small subunit ribosomal RNA
Source: RNAcentral